This 119-nucleotide ribosomal RNA is filed under the name Brassica oleracea var. oleracea. Lineage: Eukaryota; Viridiplantae; Streptophyta; Magnoliopsida; Brassicales; Brassicaceae. The record is from RNAcentral.
GGGUGCGAUCAUGCCAGCACUAAUGCACCGGAUCCCAUCAGAACUCCGCACUUAAGCGUGCUUGGACGAGAGUAGUACUAGGAUGGGUGACCUCCCGGGAAGUCCUUGUGUUGCACCCC